UACGGAGGGUGCAAGCGUUAUCCGGAUUCACUGGGUUUAAAGGGAGCGUAGGUGGGUUGGUAAGUCAGUGGUGAAAUCCCCGAGCUUAACUUGGGAACUACCAUUGAUACUAUCAGUCUUGAAUACUGUGGAGGUUAGCGGAAUAUGUCAUGUAGCGGUGAAAUGCUUAGAUAUGACAUAGAACACCAAUUGCGAAGGCAGCUGGCUACACAAUUAUUGACACUGAGGCUCGAAAGCGUGGGGAUCAAACAGG
RNAcentral lists this ribosomal RNA (253 nucleotides) under uncultured bacterium. RNAcentral's name for it is "partial 16S ribosomal RNA". It matches the Rfam family "Bacterial small subunit ribosomal RNA", at positions 524 to 776 of the family's 1533-position model. The record is from RNAcentral.